UUUACUAAUUCAGAAAAUAAGAUUUGUUAGCAGAUAGAGAUAUCCGACAUACACCCAGGAACACAGCAUCGAUACGAGUGGAGGAGGGGGGAGACAAGGUGAAGGUCUGGCUGGAGAACUACACUAAAGAGAAGAUACAUGCCAAGAUCCACAUGCCCACCCAUUCACUCACACUGUCACAUGCUCUAACACUGCCACCCGGACAGUGGUCUAAUUUCCUAACGUUGGACUAGACUCUACAAAACUUUUUGGCAAUACUCUGUCCUUAGUUUAUCUUGCCUUAGCUGUUCUAUUGCAGGAAUCAUGCUUUCUCAAACCUGCUAGUGUAUAAUUUUCUAUACACUGUGUAGG
Molecule: long non-coding RNA, 351 nt
Filed under: Astyanax mexicanus (Mexican tetra)
Lineage: Eukaryota; Metazoa; Chordata; Actinopteri; Characiformes; Acestrorhamphidae
Description: lncRNA (ENSAMXG00005016644.1)
Source: RNAcentral